CAGAAUCUGAUUAGCACAAAAGAAUGGGCUGUUUGUCUACCAGCAGGGAGGUCGGCAGUGAUGACCAGACAUGGUGGGCUAGAUAAGCAUAUCCAGAUUUGCCCCUGACCAGACGGUAGAAAGGAUAACUAACCAAGAACGCACUAACACUGACCAAGAUCUCCGUGAGGGUAGAGGUGAAACAAACCCAGUACUUUCAAUGGUGCCCUUUUCCUAGCUCACAACCGGAAACCAGUUCCUUACCAUCUCCAAACCUCAGCAAUCUACCUGGUCCUCCAAGGGGAAUAAUUCUGACCUUGGGCUGAAGAGGAAGAUGGUUUGCCAGAAGAGACUGGACUGAAGGGACUUCAAGGUCUCUUUGAAGACAGAGUCUGUGACUGUGCUUUGCAGCAGCUACAGGAGGAGGGGAACCAAACCCCAGCACAACAAAACCAGAUAUGCAGAGUGAAGGAACUGGGAUGUGUUAUGUGCAUGUUCCAACUCCAUAUGAGGAAUGUAAACAUUAUGCAUUACAAACUUG
Long non-coding RNA from Heterocephalus glaber (naked mole-rat), 520 nucleotides. The record is from Ensembl. NCBI's taxonomy places the organism in Eukaryota, Metazoa, Chordata, Mammalia, Rodentia, Bathyergidae.